UACGAAGGGGGCUAGCGUUGCUCGGAAUGACUGGGCGUAAAGGGCGCGUAGGCGGCUUGCACAGUCAGGCGUGAAAUUCCUGGGCUCAACCUGGGGACUGCGCUUGAGACGUGUGGGCUUGAGUGGGGAAGAGGGUCGUGGAAUUGCCGGUGUAGCGGUGAAAUGCGUAGAUAUCGGAAGGAACACCUGUGGCGAAAGCGGCUCACUGGACCAUUACUGACGCUGAUGCACGAAAGCUAGGGGAGCAAACAGG
Molecule: ribosomal RNA, 253 nt
Filed under: uncultured bacterium
Lineage: Bacteria
Description: partial 16S ribosomal RNA
Rfam family: Bacterial small subunit ribosomal RNA
Source: RNAcentral